RNAcentral lists this long non-coding RNA (339 nucleotides) under Sorghum bicolor (sorghum). Its description in RNAcentral is "long non-coding RNA (SBIC_LNC007261)". The record is from RNAcentral. Lineage: Eukaryota; Viridiplantae; Streptophyta; Magnoliopsida; Poales; Poaceae.
CCUUUCUACAGUAAUUCAAACCCACUAUCAAAAUUUGAGACAAUUUUGACUUUUUUAAGCAUAUUUGGUUAAUUUUUUUUCUUUCAUUGCAUUUUUCGGACCACUCCAAAUUUAAACUGCAGGUACAUGAAAUAAUGCACUAGGGUCAUUCGAAAAAUGAUAUCCAUGGUGUUUGGGGUAUGUUGAGGCCGUAUCCAGGAGCUCGCAUGAAAUUACCACCAUCAUGCCGUCGUGACAUGAGGAGGUAAUCGCGUAGAAAGAGUAUUUAAAUUAUAAAAAAUCCGAACGACGUCCGAAAAUCACGAAACUUGUUGAUGUGUCUUGGUAUCCCAUGUGGAG